AUGAAAGUGUGGUCACUCCUUCUGCGUCUCCCUGGUUGGACAGACUUGACCUCAAACCCAGGUCAGAGACCAGUCUUCUGGAUCCAGGAACAAGAGAUGUUUCCUAGGGACCCAGACCAGAACCCGUCUACCUUGCAGUUAGAACCCAGAAACUUGGUCUACUGGAAAAAAACAACUGUGCCAGAAUGCCCUGAAAUCCAGUGGAAAGAAGCCUAGCAAGGCCUCCUUACUAACUCCUCCACCAAAAAGAUAAAGGGAGUGACAGCCCCAACCCACAAGCUGACAGCUCAACCUACUACUAGUCAUUUCAAAUUCCACCUGACCCAGAAAAAAAAGCAGACAACAUGAGGAGUAGACCACUUCCCCAAGAUGCUGGGCAUGGGCUGAGUCUCUCUGGUCCAAGGAUCAGCAGCUCAUAGAACUCCCUGACUACGCCUUUGGUCAGCAUUGAUAGAACUCAUCUUGACCAAAAGGGGAAGAAUGUUAAAAGAAGUUAUGAGAAGGGCCUUCUUUGACCUCACUGACCUCAUGAUUGGAACAGGUCUUGUGAUAUCUCUGGAAAUUUACUGUACCUGGAUGGAUCUGAUCAGAUCCACAUCUGAAGUUCCUUGAUUUGAUCAGAUGUUGAUCAUGCCUUCCUUUUGCUGUCCCUCCCAAGCAUUCUUCCCUGUUGAAAUAUAUUUAAACUCUACCCCUCUACUCCCUUCUGCCCCACUUCCAGCACUCCUGCAUUCUGGUAUUGUGUACUGACCUUGAAUUGAAAUUCCUUUGACUCAGUUAAAGACUCUUAUUGUUGCUACUUUGGUAAUCCACUUUAUUUCAGAUUGAUACUAGCCAAGGGUCAAACUAUGAUGCUGGGAAAAAAAUGUGCAAUCCUAUAGUUCACAUGAACUGGUGACUGAACCCAUGAGUCCCAGGAUGAGCCAAAAAUUGGGACCCUGAUCAUUAAAUUCAACUUCUAGAUGGAAGAUGUCUGAACUUGGAUGGUACUUCUGUCAAAUAUUUUGCAACCACUGAAGCCUACUGCUCCAAAUAUGAAAAUGCAUACUCUUCAAGGGAAGAAAAAGAAUUUUCCUUGAAGCCUGUCUGCCAGUCAGAGGAGCAAGGCUCUACAAUCACUAGAGUCCAAAGUAAGGCUGUAUAAUAAAGGGUGAUGAGGAGGAGGGCA
Molecule: long non-coding RNA, 1168 nt
Filed under: Monodelphis domestica (gray short-tailed opossum)
Lineage: Eukaryota; Metazoa; Chordata; Mammalia; Didelphimorphia; Didelphidae
Description: lncRNA (ENSMODG00000051524.1)
Source: RNAcentral